UCCGUAGGCGGGCGUCUAAGUCAGUGGUGAAAUCUUACAGCUCAACUGUAAAAUUGCCUUUGAUACUGGAUUUCUUGAAUUAAUGUGAAGUGGUUAGAAUGUGUAGUGUAGCGGUGAAAUGCAUAGAUAUUACACAGAAUACCAAUUGCGAAGGCAGAUCACUAACAUUAUAUUGACGCUGAGGGACGAAAGCGUGGGGAGCGAACAGGAUUAGAUACCCUGGUAGUCC
This 229-nucleotide ribosomal RNA is filed under the name uncultured bacterium. RNAcentral describes it as "partial 16S ribosomal RNA". It matches the Rfam family "Bacterial small subunit ribosomal RNA", at positions 568 to 796 of the family's 1533-position model. The record is from RNAcentral.